GUUAAUAGAAAAAAAUCGAUCCCAACGAAAGCUUUAAGUGAGUCAACUGUGUUCAGCUCAAAAGGAGUCCUUUUUAUUCUUGGUGUGAGCCAGAGGAGUGGGCCUGUUUAAUUAAGGAGAACAGUACUGGGAAAAAUUGGGGUGUGCUUUGAUUUCUACAGUGGAAGGAGUUUACCCAAGAAUUGAAAGCAAAGCCUCUGUCCUGCCAGUGGAGGUUUCUCAAUCCUUCAUAUGGGGAACCUGUAUAGUCCCGGGGACCACAGGAGCUGCCCUUCCAUGCUGCCAGCUUGCUCUCACGGACCACAGUGGAUGCAACAGGAGACUGAAGUCUCCGUGGAGGCUGCCUCCCCACCAGGCGGCUUCUUUGCCUCCAGAACCGAAGUCUAGUGUUGGCCUUUCAACUCAGGUAAGAUUGAAAACAAGCCUUAUGUGGCACAGUCUGUGUCAUCUCCAUGUUACCAUUUGGUGUCACGCAUCACGGGUCACAUCACUAAUUUGAUAUGUAGUUGUUGUUUCCUUUUGCGUCCUAAGUUGUGUCCACCUCUUUUGUGACCCCAUGGACUGUAGCCCGCCAGGCUCUGCUGUCCAUGGGAUUUCCCAGACAAGAAUAUAGGAGUGAGUUGCCAUUUCCUUCUCCAGGGGAUCUUCCUGACCUAUGGAUUGAACAUGCAUCUCCUACAUUGCAAGUGGAUUCUUUACCAACUGAGCCACCAGGGAAGCUCUUUCCUUACUUUUAUUAAUGUCCAUAUUCAUGCUUUGAGAUGAGUGUAUUUCUCAUGAGAUUGUCAGCUCUACACAAAUAAGGCUUUUAUUAGCCCUUUUGUACCGUGCUUUGUAUAUACAAUUAGAAAUAAUAUAAUAGAAUUAUAAGAACUCUAUUUUCUGAGACAUGCACACUUUCAGACUUUGGUUUACUGAGUGAGCAUGGACCAUAACAUAUUAACAAUGUGAUGUGUAUAUGAUUUUAGCUAGUGCUCAAUAUGUGUGAAAUUAUAUACAAAAUUUGAAUGGAAAAACGCUAAGGUCUCACUGUUACCUGCUUCAUGUUAGAAAAUAAUAUCAGAAUAUUAGUUCCAAUAUGUAUAGCCUACAUCUGAUAGAGAUCCUUUAAUUUUUGUUUCUCAAAUUAAAAGCAUUCAAUUUUCUCUAGAAAAUGCUUGUUUCUCUCAACCUCAUUAUGAAAACAUUUUCUGCAUACUUUGCCUAAAAUUACCUUGUUUUUUGUUUUAAUUACACAACUCCAAAUCACUUUUCCUCAUUAGUAUUUGAUAAUUAUAAGCAAAGAAGCAAAUAUAAAAACAAGAAGUCCAUGAGCAGUGCAGUCAUGCAUUUUCUGCUUCUCUCUGUUGAUAGCACUGAUGAAGUGUAUUUAAUUUCAAUCUGCUGAAUGACCACAUUCAUAAUUCGUGUUCAUUUCCAUUCCAGGAUGAUUUCUUUCCAGUUUGAUUCAAUAUACAUAAUUUUUCCUUAAGCAUACAUGUCCACAUUCCUUUGAACUUGUUUUUGUCUGGGGAAGGAGGAAAGAAAUUAACCCUCAUUUUGUAUCUCCUUUUGACACAGCCUGUUUUUGGCACUUGCCACAUAUUACCUCAUUUGAUUCUGUGUACAAUCUUGGGAAGCUGGAAUUAUUAUUCUUACUCUAAAGAUGAAAAACUGAUGGCUAGAAACCAACGUGCCCAAGAUUGUUUAAUUAGGAAAUGGCAGAGCCAGAAUUCAAUAAAACCAUCCUCUUUUGGUUAUUGGUUUUAAUG
Molecule: long non-coding RNA, 1751 nt
Filed under: Bos indicus x Bos taurus (hybrid cattle)
Lineage: Eukaryota; Metazoa; Chordata; Mammalia; Artiodactyla; Bovidae
Description: lncRNA (ENSBIXG00005004079.1)
Source: RNAcentral